RNAcentral lists this ribosomal RNA (253 nucleotides) under uncultured bacterium. RNAcentral's name for it is "partial 16S ribosomal RNA". It matches the Rfam family "Bacterial small subunit ribosomal RNA", at positions 524 to 776 of the family's 1533-position model. The record is from RNAcentral.
UACGUAGGGUGCGAGCGUUAAUCGGAAUUACUGGGCGUAAAGUGUGCGCAGGCGGCCGAGCAAGUCGAGUGUGAAAGCCCCGAGCUUAACUUGGGAACUGCGCUCGAAACUACUUGGCUGGAGUGUGGCAGAGGAAGGUGGAAUUCCACGUGUAGCGGUGAAAUGCGUAGAGAUGUGGAGGAACACCGAUGGCGAAGGCAGCCCCCUGGGCUAACACUGACGCUCAUGCACGAAAGCGUGGGGAGCAAACAGG